AGAGUUUGAUCAUGGCUCAGAUUGAACGCUGGCGGCAGGCUUAACACAUGCAAGUCGAGCGGGGAAAGGUAGCUUGCUACCUGACCUAGCGGCGGACGGGUGAGUAAUGCUUAGGAAUCUGCCUAUUAGUGGGGGACAACAUCUCGAAAGGGAUGCUAAUACCGCAUACGUCCUACGGGAGAAAGUAGGGGACCUUCGGGCCUUGCGCUAAUAGAUGAGCCUAAGUCGGAUUAGCUAGUUGGUGGGGUAAAGGCCUACCAAGGCGACGAUCUGUAGCGGGUCUGAGAGGAUGAUCCGCCACACUGGGACUGAGACACGGCCCGGACUCCUACGGGAGGCAGCAGUGGGGAAUAUUGGACAAUGGGGGGAACCCUGAUCCAGCCAUGCCGCGUGUGUGAAGAAGGCCUUUUGGUUGUAAAGCACUUUAAGCGAGGAGGAGGCUACCGAGAUUAAUACUCUUGGAUAGUGGACGUUACUCGCAGAAUAAGCACCGGCUAACUCUGUGCCAGCAGCCGCGGUAAUACAGAGGGUGCAAGCGUUAAUCGGAUUACUGGGCGUAAAGCGCGCGUAGGUGGCCAAUUAAGUCAAAUGUGAAAUCUCCGAGCUUAACUUGGGAAUUGCAUUCGAUACUGGUUGGCUAGAGUAUGGGAGAGGAUGGUAGAAUUCCAGGUGUAGCGGUGAAAUGCGUAGAGAUCUGGAGGAAUACCGAUGGCGAAGGCAGCCAUCUGGCCUAAUACUGACACUGAGGUGCGAAAGCAUGGGGAGCAAACAGGAUUAGAUACCCUGGUAGUCCAUGCCGUAACGAUGUCUACUAGCCGUUGGGGCCUUUGAGGCUUUAGUGGGCGCAGCUAACGCGAUAAGUAGACGCUUGGGGAGUACGUCGCAGACUAAACUCAAUGAUUGACGA
This 907-nucleotide ribosomal RNA is filed under the name uncultured bacterium. Its description in RNAcentral is "bacterial SSU rRNA". It matches the Rfam family "Bacterial small subunit ribosomal RNA", at positions 8 to 916 of the family's 1533-position model. The record is from RNAcentral.